Molecule: unclassified non-coding RNA, 250 nt
Filed under: plant metagenome
Description: partial contains small subunit ribosomal RNA, internal transcribed spacer 1, and 5.8S ribosomal RNA
Source: RNAcentral
GUAGGUGAACCUGCGGAAGGAUCAUUAAUGAAACUUCAAGUCGGCUGUUCUGUGCUGGUGGAAACACAUGUGCACGUUCGGUCGCAAUCCACACACCUGUGCACUUUGACUCUGAGCACCGCCAGUAACACGGCAGAAGGUUCUUAUGACUAAGGUCUGGACCCGGUACUCGAGUAUUUUACACACUCUGAAUGUAAUGGAAUGUCACUGUACAAUGUACAAUCAUAAACAACUUUCAACAACGGAUCUC